RNAcentral lists this ribosomal RNA (273 nucleotides) under uncultured bacterium. RNAcentral describes it as "partial 16S ribosomal RNA". It matches the Rfam family "Bacterial small subunit ribosomal RNA", at positions 84 to 354 of the family's 1533-position model. The record is from RNAcentral.
CCUGCCGGCGACCGGCGCACGGGUGAGUAACACGUAUGCGACCUGCCCCCCGCAGGGGGAUAACCGGGAGAAAUCCCGACUAAUACCGCGUAACGCCGCGGACCUGCAUGGGUCUGCGGCCAAAGGAAGCGAUUCCGGCGGGGAUGGGCAUGCGGCGCAUUAGCUAGUCGGCGGGGUAACGGCCCACCGAGGCGACGAUGCGUAGGGGUUCUGAGAGGAAGGUCCCCCACACUGGUACUGAGACACGGACCAGACUCCUACGGAAGGCAGCAG